GCCGGGGUGGCGAAACUGGUAGACGCACAGGACUUAAAAUCCUGUUCUUCGCAAGGAGAGUGUCGGUUCGAUUCCGAUCCCCGGCA
RNAcentral lists this transfer RNA (86 nucleotides) under Ignavibacteriota bacterium. Its description in RNAcentral is "Ignavibacteriae bacterium tRNA-Leu". It matches the Rfam family "tRNA". Rfam says of the family: Transfer RNA (tRNA) molecules are approximately 80 nucleotides in length. Their secondary structure includes four short double-helical elements and three loops (D, anti-codon, and T loops). Further hydrogen bonds mediate the characteristic L-shaped molecular structure. tRNAs have two regions of fundamental functional importance: the anti-codon, which is responsible for specific mRNA codon recognition, and the 3' end, to which the tRNAs corresponding amino acid is attached (by aminoacyl-tRNA synthetases). tRNAs cope with the degeneracy of the genetic code in two manners: having more than one tRNA (with a specific anti-codon) for a particular amino acid; and 'wobble' base-pairing, i.e. permitting non-standard base-pairing at the 3rd anti-codon position. Lineage: Bacteria; Pseudomonadati; Ignavibacteriota. The record is from RNAcentral.